UAAGGAAUAUUGGACAAUGGUGGAAACACUGAUCCAGCCAUGCCGCGUGCAGGAUGACGGCCCUAUGGGUUGUAAACUGCUUUUGUACGGGAAAAAACCCUCGUUCGUGAACGAGGCUGAUGGUACCGUAAGAAUAAGGAUCGGCUAACUCCGUGCCAGCAGCCGCGGUAAUACGGAGGAUCCAAGCGUUAUCCGGAUUUAUUGGGUUUAAAGGGUGCGUAGGCGGAUUAAUAAGUCAGUGGUGAAAGCCUACAGCUUAACUGUAGAAUUGCCAUUGAUACUGUUAGUCUUGAGUAUAUUUGAAGUGGGCGGAAUGUGCAGUGUAGCGGUGAAAUGCUUAGAUAUUGCACAGAACACCGAUUGCGAAGGCAGCUCACUAAACUAUAACUGACGCUGAGGCACGAAAGUAUGGGGAUCAAACAGG
RNAcentral lists this ribosomal RNA (424 nucleotides) under uncultured Bacteroidota bacterium. RNAcentral's name for it is "bacterial SSU rRNA". It matches the Rfam family "Bacterial small subunit ribosomal RNA", at positions 355 to 776 of the family's 1533-position model. Lineage: Bacteria; Pseudomonadati; Bacteroidota. The record is from RNAcentral.